This 466-nucleotide ribosomal RNA is filed under the name uncultured bacterium. RNAcentral describes it as "bacterial SSU rRNA". It matches the Rfam family "Bacterial small subunit ribosomal RNA", at positions 1 to 449 of the family's 1533-position model. The record is from RNAcentral.
CCCUUAGAGUUUGAUCCUGGCUCAGGAUGAACGCUGGCGGCGUGCCUAACACAUGCAAGUCGAACGAAGCUCCUGCGACAGAUUCCUUCGGGAUGAAGAUGCUUGAGACUUAGUGGCGGACGGGUGAGUAACGCGUGGGUAACCUGCCCUGUACUGGGGGACAACAGUUAGAAAUGACUGCUAAUACCGCAUAAGCCUACAGAGUCGCAUGACUCAGCAGGAAAAAUUCCGGUGGUACAGGAUGGGCCCGCGUCUGAUUAGCUAGUUGGUGAGGUAAUGGCUCACCAAGGCGACGAUCAGUAGCCGGCUUGAGAGAGUGAACGGCCACAUUGGGACUGAGACACGGCCCAAACUCCUACGGGAGGCAGCAGUGGGGAAUAUUGCACAAUGGGGGAAACCCUGAUGCAGCAACGCCGCGUGAGUGAAGAAGUAUUUCGGUAUGUAAAGCUCUAUCAGCAGGGAAGAA